AGUGAACGCUGGCGGUAGGCCUAACACAUGCAAGUCGAACGGCAGCACAGUAAGAUCUUGCUCUUACGGGUGGCGAGUGGCGGACGGGUGAGGAAUACAUCGGAAUCUACUUUUUCGUGGGGGAUAACGUAGGGAAACUUACGCUAAUACCGCAUACGACCUACGGGUGAAAGCAGGGGAUCUUCAGACCUUGCGCGAUUGAAUUAGCCGAUGUCGGAUUAGCUAGUUGGCGGGGUAAAGGCCCACCAAGGCGACGAUCCGUAGCUGGUCUGAGAGGAUGAUCGGCCACACUGGAACUGAGACACGGUCCAGACUCCUACGGGAGGCAGCAGUGGGGAAUAUUGGACAAUGGGCGCAAGCCUGAUGCAGCCAUACCGCGUGGGUGAAGAAGGCCUUCGGGUUGUAAAACCCUUUUGUUGGGAAAGAAAAGCAGCAGGUUAAUACCCCGCUGUUCUGACGGUACCCAAAGAAUAAGCAACGGCUAACUUCGUG
RNAcentral lists this ribosomal RNA (492 nucleotides) under uncultured bacterium. RNAcentral's name for it is "partial 16S ribosomal RNA". It matches the Rfam family "Bacterial small subunit ribosomal RNA", at positions 29 to 507 of the family's 1533-position model. The record is from RNAcentral.